AUUCCGCCUUGCCCCCACCCCUAUCACCAUCAUCCAGAAGAUCCGCAUCACCCAAUCCCAUAGUUCAAUCACCAAUUCCCAAAAACCCUACCUCAAUUUGAAUCUUGCAAAAGAUAAUUUACAUAAAAUGUCGAAUAAUUAGAGGUUGAACAAAUGAAUAAUUUGACCAAAUUAAGUGAAUUCAUGAGAAACGCGUAACUUUUAGAGANAAAUGUCGAAUAAUUAGAGGUUGAACAAAUGAAUAAUUUGACCAAAUUAAGUGAAUUCAUGAGAAACGCGUAACUUUUAGAGAGAGAGAGAGAGAGAAUAAGAUGUAGGAAAACUGUGAACCAGUUUCCUUGUAUUCCUAUCACUUUCUACCC
This 362-nucleotide long non-coding RNA is filed under the name Olea europaea (common olive). Its description in RNAcentral is "long non-coding RNA (OEUR_LNC001904)". The record is from RNAcentral. Lineage: Eukaryota; Viridiplantae; Streptophyta; Magnoliopsida; Lamiales; Oleaceae.